GGGAAAUCAUUUCCUUGAUUCUUUGCAG
Molecule: non-coding RNA, 28 nt
Filed under: Cricetulus griseus (Chinese hamster)
Lineage: Eukaryota; Metazoa; Chordata; Mammalia; Rodentia; Cricetidae
Source: RNAcentral